AUUGAACGCUGGCGGCAGGCCUAACACAUGCAAGUCGAGCGGAUGAAGGGAGCUUGCUCCUGGAUUCAGCGGCGGACGGGUGAGUAAUGCCUAGGAAUCUGCCUGGUCGUGGGGGAUAACGUCCGGAAACGGGCGCUAAUACCGCAUACGUCCUGAGGGAGAACGUGGGGGAUCUUCGGACCUCACGCUAUCAGAUGAGCCUAGGUCGGAUUAGCUAGUUGGUGGGGUAAAGGCCUACCAAGGCGACGAUCCGUAACUGGUCUGAGAGGAUGAUCAGUCACACUGGAACUGAGACACGGUCCAGACUACUACGGGAGGCAGCAGUGGGGAAUAUUGGACAAUGGGCGAAAGCCUGAUCCAGCCAUGCCGAGUGUGUGAAGAAGGUCUUCGGAUUGUAAAGCACUUUAAGUUGGGAGGAAGGGCAGUAAGUUAAAACCUUGCUGUUUUGACGUUACCAACAGAAUAAGCACCGGCUAACUUCGUG
Molecule: ribosomal RNA, 484 nt
Filed under: uncultured bacterium
Lineage: Bacteria
Description: partial 16S ribosomal RNA
Rfam family: Bacterial small subunit ribosomal RNA
Source: RNAcentral